UUCUGUUGUGAUUGGUCUUUCCGUAUACAAUGCGUGUCAGAAACAAAACGCCUAUUACCAUAAUUAUUUUUUUUUGCUCCUGAGUGUUACUUAUAAACAAAUAUACUAUAAGGUUACAAAAAUGGCAUCGAUAUUACCUUAUCAGUUCAAGCCCUGAGGAUGAUACCAAUGCAGUUGCUCAACCGGAAACUCCAUCGCAAGUUUGACUUGAUCAGGACGUUUCUCACUGUAAGGGGGCGUUUGACACCAGUGCAGGUGAAGAACUCUCCCCGCUGUGCUCCAUUUGGUGCCGUCCUUCACCUCGGCCACUGACCGGACGGUCAUCGUCCCGCAUGGCUCCUCACGGACCGCCAACAAAUGCUGCCACAAAUGGAUCUAAUUGGCACCUCUGCAUGCCCCGUCCAGAGGAGGGCAGAGAUCAGAAAAUGGAUCAGCAUAUGAAUUUGGAGCCACGUGAGGAUCCCAUCCUGGCAGCGCGAGCUCGAGUUCGACAGGGAACAAUCACAUCUUUAUAUGGCUGAGAAACUUAAUCUGCAAGAGCGUCGAUACCAGAAACCCAUCAAGGCCAUGACAAAACCCCUAAUGAACUUGUCUGGGAAAAAUCAGGGCUGCAGUCUCAGCCGGAGAACGGCGAAGGGCCCGAUGGGAAGGGCCAGGGCCUCUUGUAAAGCGGCUUUAGCGUGUUUUGGAAGAGCAGGGUAAGGAAUAAUCUCCUCAGACUGACAGGAGCUUCUCCUUUUCUCCGUUCUUUCUCUUUCUCCUCAACUGUGGGAGUUCGUCUCCUCUCC
Molecule: long non-coding RNA, 788 nt
Organism: Cyprinus carpio carpio
Lineage: Eukaryota; Metazoa; Chordata; Actinopteri; Cypriniformes; Cyprinidae
Source: Ensembl